RNAcentral lists this ribosomal RNA (460 nucleotides) under uncultured bacterium. RNAcentral's name for it is "partial 16S ribosomal RNA". It matches the Rfam family "Bacterial small subunit ribosomal RNA", at positions 338 to 795 of the family's 1533-position model. The record is from RNAcentral.
CCUACGGGUGGCAGCAGUGAGGAAUAUUGGUCAAUGGACGAGAGUCUGAACCAGCCAAGUAGCGUGAAGGAUGACUGCCCUAUGGGUUGUAAACUUCUUUUAUAUGGGAGUAAAAUGUUCCACGAGUGGGAUUUUGUAUGUACCAUAUGAAUAAGGAUCGGCUAACUCCGUGCCAGCAGCCGCGGUAAUACGGAGGAUACGAGCGUUAUCCGGAUUUAUUGGGUUUAAAGGGAGCGUAGGUGGAUUGUUAAGUCAGUUGUGAAAGUUUGAGGCUCAACCGUAAAAUUGCAGUUGAAACUGGCAGUCUUGAGUACAGUAGAGGUGGGCGGAAUUCGUGGUGUAGCGGUGAAAUGCUUAGAUAUCUCGAAGAACUCCGAUUGCGAAGGCAGUUCACUGGACUGCAACUGACACUGAGGCUCGAAAGUGUGGGUAUCAAACAGGAUUAGAUACCCCAGUAGUC